RNAcentral lists this small RNA (490 nucleotides) under uncultured fungus. RNAcentral describes it as "eukaryotic LSU rRNA". The stretch from base 120 to 274 matches the Rfam family "5.8S ribosomal RNA". The record is from RNAcentral. Lineage: Eukaryota; Fungi.
UGCGGAAAGGAUCAUUAUACGAAUGAACCCCCCCGCCCAAGGCUAACGCUGAAGGUGGGGUCCUCUUUUAAACCCGUGCAAUUAAGUGAAGUCUGAGCAUUAUUUACGAAAUAUGUCAAAACUUUCAACAACGGAUCUCUUGGUUCUGGCAUCUGAUGAAGAACGCAGCGAAAUGCGAUAAGUAAUGUGAAUWGCAGAAUUCAGUGAAUCAUCGAAUCUUUGAACGCACAUUGCGCCCUCUGGUAUUCCGGGGGGCAUGCCUGUUMGAGCGUCAUUACACCCCUCAAGCCUAGCUUGAUAUUGGGCUUGGCUAUUURAACAGCCAGCCUWARAAUGAGUGGCAGUACUAWCUCAGCCCUAAGCGCAGUAAAUAUUUUACGCUUGUGGGCCUGGUUUAAGUUUGCUUGCCAKAAGCUACCAAAUUCAAAGGUUGACCUCGGAUCAGGUAGGGAUACCCGCUGAACUUAAGCAUAUCAAUAAGACGGAGGAA